CCCGCAUUAGAAGGUGGACGCUUGUAGAUUUGACUUUGGAAUGCCCGCAUUAGAAUGUGGGUGCAUAUAAAAUUUGACUUUGAAAUCCCUGCGUUAGAAGGUGAGUGCCUGUAAAAGAAAGGAGUUAUCUUUCCCACACAAGAAAAUUGAUGAAAAGGGGACCUACUUGACUCUUUUUUAUUAUUUUCUGCAUUUUUUGUUGUCUUUGUGAUUUUUGUAAAGAAUGUUAAAAAAAAAUUAAGAGUAAAGAAAGACUAUAAUUUAUUGAUCAAUCAUUUCUUGACUUCAGUUGGUACCAAUAAUUAGUAUUGUGCAUAAAAACUUCCAUCAUAUAUUAUCCGAUAAAUCGAGAUUGGCUUGUGGGUAAUCUUAUAGCUUCGAGUGAUACCUCAUGUAUACCUAAGUAUCGAAAAGAUUUGUUCAUCUUGCUUCAAUCAAUGAUUUUGACUUUUGCAUAUCCUCAUGUUUCAAGUGCCCUCACCAAAAAAAAGGUCCUAAUUUGCACACAUUUGAAAUAUUUAUAUUGUAGGAUAUUUUGGGAAGCACAUUCACACUCAAAAAGAUGUUCAAUGCACGCGAUUGAGAUACCAUAUGCUUGGCCUUCAUGUAAGCAUCCACUAAUAUGAGAACACUUGAAAUAGGAUAAUGUAAGGCUUGUUAUCGACUUGUAAUGUAGGCUUGGGGAUGUGUAGGAUAUUCAUUUGGGAGGAAAGUGAUGAAUCCCUCCUUGAGCACUGCAUUGUAUCUGCGUUUGUUUAAAUCAUGCUUCGGCACUUGAUCUUGU
Molecule: long non-coding RNA, 784 nt
Filed under: Nicotiana tabacum (common tobacco)
Lineage: Eukaryota; Viridiplantae; Streptophyta; Magnoliopsida; Solanales; Solanaceae
Description: long non-coding RNA (NTAB_LNC002211)
Source: RNAcentral